This 1499-nucleotide long non-coding RNA is filed under the name Mytilus galloprovincialis (Mediterranean mussel). Lineage: Eukaryota; Metazoa; Mollusca; Bivalvia; Mytilida; Mytilidae. The record is from RNAcentral.
UUUUCUUUACAAGGUUCUAGCAACAUGCUUUGUCAGAAAAGCGAUGGAUUAUUUUUUCUCAUGAGUUAAAAUGGUUAGACGGAUCACCACCUAAAAAGAAGGAAAUUGAAAAAGAAAAACAUAUUGUAAGUAUUUUAUAAAGUGAAACCAACAGAUAACAAAUUACUGAACUCCGAGGAAAAUUCAAUACAGAAAGUCAAUAAUCAAAUGGCUGAAAAUCAAAGUUCAAACACAUGAAACGAAUGGGUACAACUGUAAUAUUCCUGACUUGGUGCAGGCAUUUUCUUACUUAGAAAAUGGUGUAUUGAACCUAGAUUUAUAGCUAGCUAAACCUCGAACUUGUAUGAAAGUCGCAUGAAAUUCUAUUAUAUUGACAGCUACUAGUAUGUGUGAAUAAAACACACGUGUGAAAUUUUCAUUCAUGUACUUCGGAUAGCAAUACGGUCGUGUUAAUAAAUAUAUUACCAGUUUAAUAGGAUACCCAACACUUAAACAAAAAUAGAUUUGGCCUGUUUAUUUUUUUAUCUAGGCAUUUUAUAAAAUAUAACGGUCGUCAAAAAUAGAAAGAUUGUAAGAAAUUUGACACACGCAAUUUACAGGCAUAAUUUAAUUAGAAACAAUUUACAAACACAAGUUUGUAUCAUUACCAAGCUUGCUUUCUCUUACUGACAUUAUGUAAUUUAAACUUGUACUUCAAGAGUUAACUCCCUUAUGUUUUCUGUUUCACCUUGUUCGUUAUUAUAUUUUUCAAUCAAUGUUUAACACAUGUCUAUUAUUAUUUGUACUAACUUUAAAAAGCUUUAGUAUAGUGGAGCAAUUUCUCUUUUCUCAAAAAGCGGGGCAGUUAUUAAAAAAAUAAAAUCAAAGAGGUCAAUGCAAUUUAUAUAAAUGAAUCUUAGAAAUGCGUCCUGUUUGGCGAUAUUUAUUUACUGCUUUGCUCCUACGAGUAAUUUCAUGAGCAAAAGUUUAUUGAAAUAUUUAUUAUUUUUCGCCACAAGAACGAUUCUGGGCAUUUGAUAAACAAAGUAGUUAUUUUUACAGGACAAUACACGUAGGAGAGAGUCUGUUUCAGCAAGAUAAGAAAGGUGUAAAUCAUUGCCAGCAACAACUAACAUGGGAUUUCGACCUCAUUUACUAAGUGUUGACGAAACUGCAAUGAAAACCCAUAACUUGCACGCUUUUGAUAAACGCAAAGAAAGAUUUCAUUAAUGGCACUUCCCGAUGAAAGAACCUACCGGAAGUCAAGUGAACGUUCUAUAAAUAGUGAUUUUCAGUUAUCUGUUUCCUGUUUAAAUAGGUCGUUGUCACAAGAAAAUGCAGACGGUAUAAGAAAUCAAGAAAUAUUUGACAAGAGGAAAACACGAAGGCUAUCACUACUUGCUAUACCACCGCCAACAUUGCACGAGUAAAACAAAAACUACGUGACCACGUUACAUAUAAGCAUUAUAAAACUGUUAGAGUUAACGAAUUGAUUUUCAUUUAAGUGAGCUGAGAGUUUU